AUUGCCCUGUGGGACUCACUUGUGCUAGUUCAGUCAGGUUUGGGAAGUGCUAGAUGAUGGAGGAUAUGAAAAUGCAGAGAAUCUGGGUUCCGACAUAAAGGAAACACACACUCCCUCUCUAAUCUCUGACAGAGGUAAGGCUGAACAAGACACAGGCAAACCCUCCAGAGGAGUUUAAUGUGGAAACUAUGUGACAAACAGGGCUUCAACUUGGGUUUGUAACAUUGUAACGAAGACCCCAAUCAACAAGGGUCCUCCUGAUCUCUGCAGCAUGAAUGUCCUGAGCAGUCCUGGUCCUGGAAGAACUGCAGUAGAUACAGAGAAGAGCAAUAAGGAUGAUCAAAGGAGUACCAAUAAUGCCAAAGAUGCUACACUAUAAACGAUCGAAUUUUACUGAGAAGCUCUGGAGCACGUCACAAAACAAAGAAAAGAAAACAUGGUGAGAUAGUCUUGUUGAUGGGAAGUUCCUUCACAGCACUGAUUAUUUCCUUUAGAAAAUCUGCUUUUUACAGAUGACUGGAAGCAUGAAUGACAGUGACAGGAAGCAUGUGGAAAAAUGAUGAGCUUAAGGCUUCCACAGACAUCUAAGGCUAUGGAAGUAACCAUACCAGACGAAAACCACAGAUCCUUCUGGCCCAGCUCCUCAUCUCUGACAGUAACCAAGAAUGAAUCCAAGGAAGUAUAUAUGAACACAGUAUAUGAAUCGGCACUUUUUUAGUGAGCUCAGACAGCCUACAGCAAUCCUUGGCACAGGAACUUCCUGAGAAAAAAUGUGACGUGCUUCCGUCUUACAGCAGAGUGCAAGCUGAGAGUUAUAACACGGAAAUUUUGUGACAUUAUAUGCAUAUAUGACCAACAAGAAGUAUUUUUCUGUGGAACCAUGCAAAACACAUGAUUUAUCUGAGUGAACCUACAUGAUUCUAAAAUUUAAAUAUCUUCCAGUCUUUGUACAUUUCAUAUUGUGUUUAAAAAUAGGAUUUAUUUUUAAGACAACGCCACUUUUCUUUAACUUAGUAGUAACACAAUUAGCAAAAUAAAUGAUUUUAAAAGAUAAAUGCUAAUUAAAGUGAAAUCUACUAUAGUUACUACAUUUGAAUUCUGUGUAUCUGACAAAAGAAAUAAAGUUUAAAUAACUUUAGUACCAGUAACAUUUAUGUUCCAG
Molecule: long non-coding RNA, 1162 nt
Filed under: Gallus gallus (chicken)
Lineage: Eukaryota; Metazoa; Chordata; Aves; Galliformes; Phasianidae
Description: lncRNA (ENSGALG00010005898.1)
Source: RNAcentral